Molecule: ribosomal RNA, 119 nt
Filed under: Helianthus annuus (common sunflower)
Lineage: Eukaryota; Viridiplantae; Streptophyta; Magnoliopsida; Asterales; Asteraceae
Source: RNAcentral
GGUUGCGAUCAUACCAGCACUAAUGCACCGGAUCUCAUCAAAACUCCGCAGUUAAGCGUGCUUGGGCGAGAGUAGUACUAGGAUGGGUGACCCCCUGGGAAGUCCUCGUGUUGCAACCC